UGGGGAAUUUUGGACAAUGGGCGAAAGCCUGAUCCAGCAAUGCCGCGUGUGUGAAGAAGGCCUUCGGGUUGUAAAGCACUUUUGUCCGGAAAGAAAUGGCUCUGGUUAAUACCUGGGGUCGAUGACGGUACCGGAAGAAUAAGGACCGGCUAACUACGUGCCAGCAGCCGCGGUAAUACGUAGGGUCCAAGCGUUAAUCGGAAUUACUGGGCGUAAAGCGUGCGCAGGCGGUUGUGCAAGACCGAUGUGAAAUCCCCGAGCUUAACUUGGGAAUUGCAUUGGUGACUGCACGGCUAGAGUGUGUCAGAGGGGGGUAGAAUUCCACGUGUAGCAGUGAAAUGCGUAGAGAUGUGGAGGAAUACCGAUGGCGAAGGCAGCCCCCUGGGAUAACACUGACGCUCAUGCACGAAAGCGUGGGGAGCAGACAGGAUUAGAUACCCUGGUAGUCCACGCCCUAAAACGAUGUCAACUAGUUGUUGGGGAUUCAUUUCCUUAGUAACGUAGCUAACGCGUUAAAUCGACCGCCUGGGGAG
Molecule: ribosomal RNA, 533 nt
Filed under: uncultured bacterium
Lineage: Bacteria
Description: partial 16S ribosomal RNA
Rfam family: Bacterial small subunit ribosomal RNA
Source: RNAcentral